RNAcentral lists this ribosomal RNA (433 nucleotides) under uncultured beta proteobacterium. RNAcentral describes it as "bacterial SSU rRNA". It matches the Rfam family "Bacterial small subunit ribosomal RNA", at positions 930 to 1497 of the family's 1533-position model. The record is from RNAcentral. Lineage: Bacteria; Pseudomonadati; Pseudomonadota; Betaproteobacteria.
CGGUGGAUUAUGUGGAUUAAUUCGAUGCAACGCGAAAAACCUUACCUACCCUUGACAUGCCAGGAAGCUCCCAGAGAUGGGUUCCCGGCCUGAACAGGUGUGACGAGCGCAACCCUUGCCAUUAGUUGCCACAGGGAUGUCAAGUCUCAUGGCCCUUAUGGGUAGGCUUCAUACAUGGCCGGUACAAGGGCAGCCAACCCGCGAGGGGGAGCUUCCCAGAAAGCCGGUCGUAGUCCGGAUUGCAGUGCAACUCGACUGCAUGAAGCCGGAAUCGCUAGUAAUCGGGAUCAGCAUGUCGCGGUGAAUACGUUCCCGGGUCUUGUACACACCGCCGUCACACCAUGGGAGUGGGUUCCACCAGAAGUAGUUAGCCUAACCGCAAGGAGGGCGACUACCACGCGAGAUUCAUGACUGGGGUGAAGUCGUACAAGGU